UACGUAGGGUGCAAGCGUUACUCGGAAUUACUGGGCGUAAAGCGUGCGCAGGCGGUGAUGUAAGACAGUUGUGAAAUCCCCGGGCUCAACCUGGGAACUGCAUCUGUGACUGCAUUGCUGGAGUGCGGCAGAGGGGGAUGGAAUUCCGCGUGUAGCAGUGAAAUGCGUAGAUAUCGGAAGGAACACCAGUGGCGAAAGCGGCUUCCUGGUCCAGCACCGACGUUCAGGCACGAAAGCGUGGGGAGCAAACAGG
RNAcentral lists this ribosomal RNA (253 nucleotides) under uncultured bacterium. RNAcentral describes it as "partial 16S ribosomal RNA". It matches the Rfam family "Bacterial small subunit ribosomal RNA", at positions 524 to 776 of the family's 1533-position model. The record is from RNAcentral.